Molecule: microRNA, 22 nt
Filed under: Schistosoma japonicum
Lineage: Eukaryota; Metazoa; Platyhelminthes; Trematoda; Strigeidida; Schistosomatidae
Description: sja-miR-3484-5p
Source: miRBase by way of RNAcentral
UUAGGUUUCGUUGUUUGUAUUU